CAUGGACGAAAGUCUGACGGAGCAACGCCGCGUGAGUGAUGAAGGUUUUCGGAUCGUAAAGCUCUGUUGUUAGGGAAGAACAAGUACCGUUCGAAUAGGGCGGUACCUUGACGGUACCUAACCAGAAAGCCACGGCUAACUACGUGCCAGCAGCCGCGGUAAUACGUAGGUGGCAAGCGUUGUCCGGAAUUAUUGGGCGUAAAGGGCUCGCAGGCGGUUCCUUAAGUCUGAUGUGAAAGCCCCCGGCUCAACCGGGGAGGGUCAUUGGAAACUGGGGAACUUGAGUGCAGAAGAGGAGAGUGGAAUUCCACGUGUAGCGGUGAAAUGCGUAGAGAUGUGGAGGAACACCAGUGGCGAAGGCGACUCUCUGGUCUGUAACUGACGCUGAGGAGCGAAAGCGUGGGGAGCGA
This 410-nucleotide ribosomal RNA is filed under the name Bacillus sp. CR72. RNAcentral's name for it is "bacterial SSU rRNA". It matches the Rfam family "Bacterial small subunit ribosomal RNA", at positions 370 to 771 of the family's 1533-position model. Lineage: Bacteria; Bacillati; Bacillota; Bacilli; Caryophanales; Bacillaceae. The record is from RNAcentral.